AUUGAACGCUGGCGGAAUGCUUUACACAUGCAAGUCGAACGGCAGCACGGGGGCAGCCCUGGUGGCGAGUGGCGAACGGGGGAGCAAUACAUCCGAACGUGCCCGCUCGCGGGGCAGAACGUAGCGGAAGCAACGCUAAUACCGCAUCCGAUCUGAGGAGGAAAGCGGGGCACCGUCCGGCCUCGCGCGGUCGGAGGUGCCGAUGUCGGAUUGGGUAGUUGGUGGGGUAAAGGCCUACCAAGCCGACGAUCUGUAGCUGGUCUGAGAGGACGACCAGCCACACUGGGACUGAGCCACCGCCCAGCCUCCUACGGGCGGCACCAGUGGGGAAUUUUGGACACUGGGCGCACGCCUGAUCCAGCCCUACCGCGUGCUGGACGAAGGCCUUCGGGUUGUAAACUGCUUUUGUACGGAACGAAAAGGCUCUGGCUGAUACCUGGGGCUCAUGACGGUACCGUACGAAUAAGCACCGGCUUACUACGUG
This 484-nucleotide ribosomal RNA is filed under the name uncultured bacterium. RNAcentral describes it as "partial 16S ribosomal RNA". It matches the Rfam family "Bacterial small subunit ribosomal RNA", at positions 28 to 507 of the family's 1533-position model. The record is from RNAcentral.